This 617-nucleotide ribosomal RNA is filed under the name uncultured bacterium. Its description in RNAcentral is "bacterial SSU rRNA". The stretch from base 1 to 540 matches the Rfam family "Bacterial small subunit ribosomal RNA", at positions 338 to 873 of the family's 1533-position model. The record is from RNAcentral.
CCUACGGGAGGCAGCAGUGGGGAAUUUUGGACAAUGGGGGCAACCCUGAUCCAGCAAUGCCGCGUGAGUGAAGAAGGCCUUCGGGUUGUAAAGCUCUUUUGUCAGGGAAGAAACAGCAGCUCUAACACAGACUGCGAAUGACGGUACCUGAAGAAUAAGCACCGGCUAACUACGUGCCAGCAGCCGCGGUAAUACGUAGGGUGCGAGCGUUAAUCGGAAUUACUGGGCGUAAAGCGUGCGCAGGCGGUUAUACAAGACAGGCGUGAAAUCCCCGGGCUUAACCUGGGAAUGGCGUCUGUGACUGUAUAGCUAGAGUGUGUCAGAGGGGGGUGGAAUUCCACGUGUAGCAGUGAAAUGCGUAGAUAUGUGGAGGAACACCAAUGGCGAAGGCAGCCCCCUGGGAUAACACUGACGCUCAUGCACGAAAGCGUGGGGAGCAAACAGGAUUAGAUACCCUGGUAGUCCACGCCCUAAACGAUGCUGACUAGUUGUUGGGAAUUUACAUUCUCAGUAACGUAGCUAACGCGUGAAGUCAGCGCCGNGGAGGUACGGUCGCGAGAGUAAACGUACGAAGAAGUUAGAGNGNGAGAGNGCGAGGACGACGACGAGGGAGGAGG